RNAcentral lists this ribosomal RNA (253 nucleotides) under uncultured bacterium. RNAcentral's name for it is "partial 16S ribosomal RNA". It matches the Rfam family "Bacterial small subunit ribosomal RNA", at positions 524 to 776 of the family's 1533-position model. The record is from RNAcentral.
UACAGAGGUCUCAAGCGUUGUUCAGAUUCAUUGGGCGUAAAGGGUGCGUAGGUGGCGCCAUAAGUCAGGUGUGAAAUCUCGGGGCUCAACCCCGAAACUGCACUUGAUACUGUGGUGCUUGAGUACUGGAGAGGAGAUUGGAAUUUACGGUGUAGCAGUGAAAUGCGUAGAUAUCGUAAGGAAGACCAGUGGCGAAGGCGAAUCUCUGGACAGUUGCUGACACUGAGGCACGAAGGCCAGGGGAGCAAACGGG